AUUGAACGCUGGCGGCAGGCCUAACACAUGCAAGUCGAGCGGAUGAAGGGAGCUUGCUCCUGGAUUCAGCGGCGGACGGGUGAGUAAUGCCUAGGAAUCUGCCUGGUAGUGGGGGAUAACGUCCGGAAACGGGCGCUAAUACCGCAUACGUCCUGAGGGAGAAAGUGGGGGAUCUUCGGACCUCACGCUAUCAGAUGAGCCUAGGUCGGAUUAGCUAGUUGGUGGGGUAAAGGCCUACCAAGGCGACGAUCCGUAACUGGUCUGAGAGGAUGAUCAGUCACACUGGAACUGAGACACGGUCCAGACUCCUACGGGAGGCAGCAGUGGGGAAUAUUGGACAAUGGGCGAAAGCCUGAUCCAGCCAUGCCGCGUGUGUGAAGAAGGUCUUCGGAUUGUUAAGCACUUUAAGUUGGGAGGAAGGGCAGUAAGUUAAUACCUUGCUGUUUUGACGUUACUAACAGAAUAAGCACCGGCUAACUACGUG
RNAcentral lists this ribosomal RNA (484 nucleotides) under uncultured bacterium. RNAcentral describes it as "partial 16S ribosomal RNA". It matches the Rfam family "Bacterial small subunit ribosomal RNA", at positions 30 to 507 of the family's 1533-position model. The record is from RNAcentral.